AUUGAACGCUGGCGGCAGGCCUAACACAUGCAAGUCGAGCGGAUGAAGGGAGCUUGCUCCUGGAUUCAGCGGCGGACGGGUGAGUAAUGCCUAGGAAUCUGCCUGGUAGUGGGGGAUAACGUCCGGAAACGGGCGCUAAUACCGCAUACGUCCUGAGGGAGAAAGUGGGGGAUCUUCGGACCUCACGCUAUCAGAUGAGCCUAGGUCGGAUUAGCUAGUUGGUGGGGUAAAGGCCUACCAAGGCGACGAUCCGUAACUGGUCUGAGAGGAUGAUCAGUCACACUGGAACUGAGACACGGUCCAGACUCCUACGGGAGGCAGCAGUGGGGAAUAUUGGACAAUGGGCGGAAGCCUGAUCCAGCCAUGCCGCGUGUGUGAAGAAGGUCUUCGGAUUGUAAAGCACUUUAAGUUGAGAGGAAGGGCAGUAAGUUAAUACCUUGCUGUUUUGACGUUACCAACAGAAUAAGCACCGGCUAACUUCGUG
RNAcentral lists this ribosomal RNA (484 nucleotides) under uncultured bacterium. RNAcentral describes it as "partial 16S ribosomal RNA". It matches the Rfam family "Bacterial small subunit ribosomal RNA", at positions 30 to 507 of the family's 1533-position model. The record is from RNAcentral.